This 268-nucleotide long non-coding RNA is filed under the name Crocodylus porosus (Australian saltwater crocodile). Its description in RNAcentral is "lncRNA (ENSCPRG00005005802.1)". Lineage: Eukaryota; Metazoa; Chordata; Crocodylia; Crocodylidae. The record is from RNAcentral.
GAUUUGCUUGGAAUUGGGCCGGGCUUCACUCAACAGCAACAACAUGGGAAAUAUUAACAGGAAGCACUUUUGAUGCUACAGGAAAUUAGACUUAUGAUGAGACUUUUGUACUGUAUUAAUGAAAGAACGAGGCUUUGGUCCAAACUUCCUCAUCAGUGACGGCAACAAACUCUUUGUUCCUGUUUCUGAUUCCUGUAUCAAGUAUGCGAAGACACCAGACUAGUCUGCAAAGCCUACUGUCUCUAUGGAAGUUUUCACCCAAAUUCAG